This 230-nucleotide ribosomal RNA is filed under the name uncultured bacterium. Its description in RNAcentral is "partial 16S ribosomal RNA". It matches the Rfam family "Bacterial small subunit ribosomal RNA", at positions 562 to 791 of the family's 1533-position model. The record is from RNAcentral.
AAAGCGUGCGCAGGCGGUUAUGUAAGACAGAUGUGAAAUCCCCGGGCUCAACCUGGGAACUGCAUUAGUGACUGCAUAGCUGGAGUACGGCAGAGGGGGAUGGAAUUCCGCGUGUAGCAGUGAAAUGCGUAGAUAUGCGGAGGAACACCGAUGGCGAAGGCAAUCCCCUGGGCCUGUACUGACGCUCAUGCACGAAAGCGUGGGGAGCAAACAGGAUUAGAUACCCGAGU